GCCAGUGUGAUAUAGUGGUUUAAGCAUCAGACUAUGACUCUAGAGACCAGGGUUCUAAUCCCUGCUUGGUCA
Phrynosoma platyrhinos (Desert horned lizard) is the source of this 72-nucleotide non-coding RNA. The record is from the annotation of a GenBank genome assembly. Lineage: Eukaryota; Metazoa; Chordata; Lepidosauria; Squamata; Phrynosomatidae.